This 541-nucleotide long non-coding RNA is filed under the name Vigna radiata. Its description in RNAcentral is "long non-coding RNA (VRAD_LNC003070)". The record is from RNAcentral. Lineage: Eukaryota; Viridiplantae; Streptophyta; Magnoliopsida; Fabales; Fabaceae.
ACGACACAAGACAUGGUAUAGGAACAUCAUAAAUUACUUCAGACGCAUAAUUUUCCUUUUUGAGUAAUACUGUUCACGUAAGAUACCAUUUGCUUUCAAUAUUAAAAUCUAACCAAUCUCAGAUCCAUUGCGACGUCUAUCAAGUGUCUUGUAACUUAAAAAAAGUUUAUCAUUAAAGAAAUGUUUAAGAUAACCACUUACACUCUAUUGUUCUUCCUGACCAUCAAUAUAGGGGUUUAAAGUUCCAUAGGAUUACUUAGAAACUUUUCCAGUUCGAAAUUCUUCCUUUGACCUACCGUAAUAGACAGGAUCUUUGCCUGCAAAGGUGAUAAAAUUCCAGCCAAAUGCAGAUCCUCCAACUACAUAGGUCCCUGGAAGACCAUCUUCAACCACAUGCUUCUGAAAGCCAGGAACUGGUGGAGUAAGCUUAAUUUCAGAUGGUAGAGACUGCUGCUCUUUGGGUGCUUUCUCAUCAAUGUUCUGACCAGCCUUUGACUGGUCAUCUUUCAUGCUUUCACAUAACCUGGUCACGAUCUUCAGC